GAUGAACGCUGGCGGCGUGCCUAAUACAUGCAAGUCGAGCGAACAGACGAGGAGCUUGCUCCUCUGACGUUAGCGGCGGACGGGUGAGUAACACGUGGAUAACCUACCUAUAAGACUGGGAUAACUUCGGGAAACCGGAGCUAAUACCGGAUAACAUGUUGAACCGCAUGGUUCAACAGUGAAAGACGGUCUUGCUGUCACUUAUAGAUGGAUCCGCGCCGCAUUAGCUAGUUGGUAAGGUAACGGCUUACCAAGGCAACGAUGCGUAGCCGACCUGAGAGGGUGAUCGGCCACACUGGAACUGAGACACGGUCCAGACUCCUACGGGAGGCAGCAGUAGGGAAUCUUCCGCAAAGGGCGAAAUCCUGACGGAGCAACGCCGCGUGAGUGAAGAAGGUCUUCGGAUCGUAAAACUCUGUUAUUAGGGAAGAACAAAUAUGUAAGUAACUAUGCACGUCUUGACGGUACCUAAUCAGAAAGCCACGGCUAACUACGUG
RNAcentral lists this ribosomal RNA (497 nucleotides) under uncultured bacterium. Its description in RNAcentral is "partial 16S ribosomal RNA". It matches the Rfam family "Bacterial small subunit ribosomal RNA", at positions 28 to 507 of the family's 1533-position model. The record is from RNAcentral.